Molecule: long non-coding RNA, 320 nt
Organism: Ananas comosus (pineapple)
Lineage: Eukaryota; Viridiplantae; Streptophyta; Magnoliopsida; Poales; Bromeliaceae
Exons: 2
Source: RefSeq, a predicted model, not a curated record
AUUGAUUACUAGGGCUUUCGGAGAAUUGUGAAGAUCCAUACCCAUAGGUCGAACGUGAAUCGUCGGUUAAUAGAGCCACCUACUACAGGAGAGGCUAGGGAUCGUGGCAAGGGAGUCGCGUCUAGCUAGAUAUAGCUUGGAGCUUGACUAGAUGAUCAUCUUGCUACUCGGGCUACGACCGAGGGUUAUGUACCCGUGUACAGAAAAACUACCAUUGUACAUAUAUUUUGAGUGACCUUGUGAUGUAUUUACGGUUUGUACCUGGGAUGACAGUUUUGGUGUUUCUCUGUGGAAUAGAAGAAUUCGGGACUGUACAGACU